CAGCAGCCGCGGUAAUACGAAGGGGGCUAGCGUUGUUCGGAAUUACUGGGCGUAAAGGGCGCGUAGGCGGCCAUUCAAGUUAGAUGUGAAAGCCCUGGGCUCAACCUAGGAAUUGCAUUUGAUACUGUUUGGCUUGAGUUCGGGAGAGGUGAGUGGAAUUCCCAGUGUAGAGGUGAAAUUCGUAGAUAUUCGGAAGAACACCAGUGGCGAAGGCGGCUCACUGGACGACUGUUGACGCUGAGGUACGAAAGCGUGGGGAGCAAACAGGAUUAGAUACCCAGUAGUCCCUGUCUCUUAUACA
This 301-nucleotide ribosomal RNA is filed under the name uncultured bacterium. Its description in RNAcentral is "partial 16S ribosomal RNA". It matches the Rfam family "Bacterial small subunit ribosomal RNA", at positions 509 to 808 of the family's 1533-position model. The record is from RNAcentral.